UUCCAGACUCCUACGGGAGGCAGCAGUGGGGAAUAUUGCACAAUGGGGGAAACCCUGAUGCAGCGACGCCGCGUGAGCGAUGAAGUAUUUCGGUAUGUAAAGCUCUAUCGGCAGGGAAGAAGAUGACGGUACCUGACUAAGAAGCCCCGGCUAACUACGUGCCAGCAGCCGCGGUAAUACGUAGGGGGCAAGCGUUAUCCGGAUUUACUGGGUGUAAAGGGAGCGUAGACGGCGAUGCAAGCCAGAUGUGAAAGCCCGGGGCUCAACCCCGGGACUGCAUUUGGAACUGUGUGGCUGGAGUGUCGGAGAGGCAGGCGGAAUUCCUAGUGUAGCGGUGAAAUGCGUAGAUAUUAGGAGGAACACCAGUGGCGAAGGCGGCCUGCUGGACGAUGACUGACGUUGAGGCUCGAAAGCGUGGGGAGCAAACAGGAUUAGAUACCCCGGUAGG
RNAcentral lists this ribosomal RNA (448 nucleotides) under uncultured bacterium. RNAcentral describes it as "bacterial SSU rRNA". It matches the Rfam family "Bacterial small subunit ribosomal RNA", at positions 329 to 794 of the family's 1533-position model. The record is from RNAcentral.